Molecule: ribosomal RNA, 439 nt
Filed under: uncultured bacterium
Lineage: Bacteria
Description: partial 16S ribosomal RNA
Rfam family: Bacterial small subunit ribosomal RNA
Source: RNAcentral
CUACGGGAGGCAGCAGUGAGGAAUAUUACACAAUGGGGGGAACCCUGAUGCAGCAACGCCGCGUGGAGGAUGACGCAUUUCGGUGUGUAAACUCCUUUUAUAUGUCAAGAAAAUGACGGUAGCAUAUGAAUAAGCACCGGCUAACUCCGUGCCAGCAGCCGCGGUAAUACGGAGGGUGCAAGCGUUACUCGGAAUCACUGGGCGUAAAGGACGCGUAGGCGGGUUGGAAAGUCAGGUGUGAAAUCCUACAGCUUAACUGUAGAACUGCACUUGAAACUUCUAAUCUAGAGUAUGGGAGGGGGAGAUGGAAUUAGUGGUGUAGGGGUAAAAUCCGUAGAUAUCACUAGGAAUACCUAAAGCGAAGGCGAUCUCCUGGAACAUUACUGACGCUAAGGCGUCAAAGCGUGGGGAGCAAACAGGAUUAGAUACCCUUGUAGUC